Long non-coding RNA from Artibeus jamaicensis (Jamaican fruit-eating bat), 495 nucleotides. RefSeq lists it as uncharacterized. Lineage: Eukaryota; Metazoa; Chordata; Mammalia; Chiroptera; Phyllostomidae. The record is from RefSeq and is a predicted model, not a curated record. The transcript has 2 exons.
GUUCCGUACCCUUUCGAAGCCCGCGAUGCUCCUGGCCUUUCGCGGCGCAGAGGACGCUGCACGGCCUUAUGGGAAUUGCAGUGUCCAGAAGGAUUUCGGGGCUCGUGGCGGACUGGGCUAGUCCGGAUGUGAGUCUUUACCUGCAAGCCUGGCGCCGUUCGAACUGGAGACAGAGGCUGAGAGACAAAGGAAUCCACGCGACGGGCCGCCUGGAGAUGACUCCGGCUUCCGCCGCGGGGCAUUCAACCCCACCCCCUACCCUCCCGCAGAUCCAACCACUAGUGAAGUGGAGGAUGGACGUGAGACACUAGCGCCAUGAAAGGGGGCUUGGGAAAAGAACAGGAAAGGGAUGGAGCAGGAAUAGAAAAACCUGACGUGGGGACACUAUACUCGAGUGAGACUCCGGCUUGGACCUUGGGUUUUGUCGCACUCCCUCGCUGGGAGGUGGGAUGCGUGUGAAAAAGAAUGUAAUAAAUUCUACCGUUUUCUGAAGCA